This 1258-nucleotide ribosomal RNA is filed under the name metagenome. RNAcentral describes it as "bacterial SSU rRNA". It matches the Rfam family "Bacterial small subunit ribosomal RNA", at positions 242 to 1520 of the family's 1533-position model. The record is from RNAcentral.
UAGCUAGUUGGUGAGGUAACGGCCCACCAAGGCGACGAUCAGUAGCCGGACUGAGAGGUUGACCGGCCACAUUGGGACUGAGAUACGGCCCAGACUCCUACGGGAGGCAGCAGUGGGGAAUAUUGGGCAAUGGGCGCAAGCCUGACCCAGCAACGCCGCGUGAAGGAAGAAGGCUUUCGGGUUGUAAACUUCUUUUAAGUGGGAAGAGCAGAAGACGGUACCACUUGAAUAAGCCACGGCUAACUACGUGCCAGCAGCCGCGGUAAUACGUAGGUGGCAAGCGUUGUCCGGAUUUACUGGGUGUAAAGGGCGUGCAGCCGGGCACCAAGUCAGAUGUGAAAUCUCGGGGCUUAACCCUGAAACUGCAUUUGAAACUGUAUGUCUUGAGUGCCGGAGAGGUAAUCGGAAUUCCUUGUGUAGCGGUGAAAUGCGUAGAUAUAAGGAAGAACACCAGUGGCGAAGGCGGAUUACUGGACGGUAACUGACGGUGAGGCGCGAAAGCGUGGGGAGCGAACAGGAUUAGAUACCCUGGUUGUCCACGCUGUAAACGAUGGAUACUAGGUGUGCGGGGACUGACCCCCUGCGUGCCGCAGUUAACACAAUAAGUAUCCCACCUGGGGAGUACGAUCGCAAGGUUGAAACUCAAAGGAAUUGACGGGGGCCCGCACAAGCGGUGGAUUAUGUGGUUUAAUUCGAAGCAACGCGAAGAACCUUACCAGGUCUUGACAUCCUGCUAACGAAGUAGAGAUACAUUAGGUGCCCUUCGGGGAAAGCAGAGACAGGUGGUGCAUGGUUGUCGUCAGCUCGUGUCGUGAGAUGUUGGGUUAAGUCCCGCAACGAGCGCAACCCCUAUUGUUAGUUGCUACGCAAGAGCACUCUAGCGAGACUGCCGUUGACAAAACGGAGGAAGGUGGGGACGACGUCAAAACAUCAUGCCCCUUAUGACCUGGGCUACACACGUAAUACAAUGGCGGUCAACAAAGGGAUGCAAAGCCGCGAGGCAGAGCGAACCCCAAAAAGCCGUCCCAGUUCGGAUCGCAGGCUGCAACCCGCCUGCGUGAGGUCGGAAUCGCUAGUAAUCGUGGGUCAGCAUACCACGGUGAAUACGUUCCCGGGCCUUGUACACACCGCCCGUCACACCAUGAGAGUCGGGAACACCCGAAGUCCGUAGCCUAACCGCAAGGAGGGCGCGGCCGAAGGUGGGUUCGAUAAUUGGGGUGAAGUCGUAACAAGGUAGCCGUUCGAGAACGAGCGGCUG